This is a ribosomal RNA of Plasmodium reichenowi, 300 nucleotides long. Lineage: Eukaryota; Apicomplexa; Aconoidasida; Haemosporida; Plasmodiidae. The record is from RefSeq and is a predicted model, not a curated record.
CGAGAUAGGUUAGUUUUUUACUCUACUGAAGAAUAAUAAUUAUAUUUAUAUAUUAUAUUGUUCCAGUAAUCGAACUAAGUACGAAAGGAAUAGUUUGGUCAGACAGUUAAUUUAGCUUUCGGUUGAAAAACCAACAUAGCAACUAUUUUAUGUCUGUUGUGAUAAUAGCUGAAAGCAUCUUAAGCUAGAAUCCAUUCUGUAUAUACAAUAUAUGAUUAUUUUUCUUUGUCUUGGUAAUUUUUUUUUUACUGUUAAUGUAAAAAGAGAACAUAUAUUAUAUUAUAAAAGCAUUUUUAUAAA